AAAAAUUUGCUUUAAACAAAAUUCCUACCAAACGUGUGGUAAUGAAGCAGACAAUCCUUAAAGUUUCAAUGAAACAAUCCUCCAGAUUCAAAUUACGAAGAGAAAUAAAGAGGAAGCAAGCAAAAGGACAGAGAAAGAGAAGAGCGCAAGGGGAAGAGGAAGAGCCCCGUUUCUGUUCCUUUUCGAUUUGUCUCCCCUGCCACAGCCCACGGGAUGGUAUGUUUUCUUGAUUUGUAUUCAUCUUUCUUUGGUUUAUUGAGGGUUGGUUUCGCCGGCUAAGAUUCUCCCUCUAGUCGAUCGAUUUUGCUUUUUGAUCUUUGUUUGUUCAGUUUUUUCAGAGCUGUGGAUGCUUUGGUUGAGAGUUCUUACCACAUCUGAUGGUGUGCUUCAGGUAGAAGUUUCCUACUACACUUGAAGGAUAUGUAGUUUGCAUGGAUUGGUGGUGGUCCUUAGGAGAAUUGAGGCCACUCUUCUGAGAUUGGCUUCCCUUAAGGCCAUAAAGAUGUCGAUGUCUCCUUCAUUGCACCCUAUCGCCGAUGCAUUGUUGAUUCAGGGUUUCUGAGGUUUACAUCCAUAGUUGCCUGCGCGUUUCUUAUGGUUUUGUAAGCUUGUUAUGCUGUGGUCUUUGUCCCAGCGGUGGUGGCUUGUGAGCUGAUUGGUGGCAGUGCUUGGUUACAGUGGCGAUGCUAGUUGUUGGAAUGUGGCUACUGGAGCUGGGUUUUAUGGGUAUGAGCUACUUUGGGCUUGAGUGAGUUGUGCUAUAUUGUAUGAAAAGCAUAAAAAAUAGGAAGAUUUACAAUUUAGUCC
Molecule: long non-coding RNA, 807 nt
Filed under: Manihot esculenta (cassava)
Lineage: Eukaryota; Viridiplantae; Streptophyta; Magnoliopsida; Malpighiales; Euphorbiaceae
Description: long non-coding RNA (MESC_LNC003040)
Source: RNAcentral